RNAcentral lists this ribosomal RNA (591 nucleotides) under uncultured bacterium. RNAcentral's name for it is "bacterial SSU rRNA". It matches the Rfam family "Bacterial small subunit ribosomal RNA", at positions 259 to 860 of the family's 1533-position model. The record is from RNAcentral.
GAUGGCCUACCAAGGCGACGACGGGUAGCCGGCCUGAGAGGGUGUCCGGCCACACUGGGACUGAGAUACGGCCCAGACUCCUACGGGAGGCAGCAGUGGGGAAUAUUGCACAAUGGGCGCAAGCCUGAUGCAGCGACGCCGCGUGGGGGAUGACGGCCUUCGGGUUGUAAACCUCUUUCAGCAGGGACGAAGCGCAAGUGACGGUACCUGCAGAAGAAGCACCGGCCAACUACGUGCCAGCAGCCGCGGUAAUACGUAGGGUGCGAGCGUUGUCCGGAAUUACUGGGCGUAAAGAGCUCGUAGGUGGUUUGUCGCGUUGUUCGUGAAAACCGAGGGCUUAACUCUCGGCGUGCGGGCGAUACGGGCAGACUAGAGUACUGCAGGGGAGACUGGAAUUCCUGGUGUAGCGGUGGAAUGCGCAGAUAUCAGGAGGAACACCGGUGGCGAAGGCGGGUCUCUGGGCAGUAACUGACGCUGAGGAGCGAAAGCGUGGGGAGCGAACAGGAUUAGAUACCCUGGUAGUCCACGCCGUAAACGGUGGGUACUAGGUGUGGGUUUCCUUCCUUGGGAUCCGUGCCGUAGCUAACGCAU